This 268-nucleotide ribosomal RNA is filed under the name uncultured prokaryote. RNAcentral's name for it is "partial 16S ribosomal RNA". It matches the Rfam family "Bacterial small subunit ribosomal RNA", at positions 524 to 792 of the family's 1533-position model. The record is from RNAcentral.
UACGUAGGGGCAAGCGUUGUCCGGAAUUAUUGGGCGUAAAGCGCGCGCAGGCGGUCCUUUAAGUCUGAUGUGAAAGCCUACGGCUUAACCGUGGAGGGUCAUUGGAAACUGAGGGACUUGAGUACAGAAGAGGAGAGUGGAAUUCCACGUGUAGCGGUGAAAUGCGUAGAGAUGUGGAGGAACACCAGUGGCGAAGGUGGGUGACUGGACUGCAACUGACGCUGAGGCGCGAAAGUGUGGGGAGCAAACAGGAUUAGAUACCCUGGUA